UCAGAUCAAUAUGGAUUUGUUGGAAUC
Molecule: small RNA, 27 nt
Filed under: Bombyx mori (domestic silkworm)
Lineage: Eukaryota; Metazoa; Arthropoda; Insecta; Lepidoptera; Bombycidae
Description: ovarian small RNA-6968
Source: RNAcentral